This 375-nucleotide ribosomal RNA is filed under the name Pichia sporocuriosa. RNAcentral's name for it is "LSU rRNA". It matches the Rfam family "Eukaryotic large subunit ribosomal RNA", at positions 210 to 648 of the family's 3401-position model. The record is from RNAcentral. Lineage: Eukaryota; Fungi; Ascomycota; Pichiomycetes; Pichiales; Pichiaceae.
GGGUGAGAGCCCCGUGGGAUGCGCAUUGAAGCUGUAAGGCCCUUCUGACGAGUCGAGUUGUUUGGGAAUGCAGCUCUAAGCGGGUGGUAAAUUCCAUCUAAGGCUAAAUAUUGGCGAGAGACCGAUAGCGAACAAGUACUGUGAAGGAAAGAUGAAAAGCACUUUGAAAAGAGAGUGAAACAGCACGUGAAAUUGUUGAAAGGGAAGGGUAUUGGGUCCGACAUGGGGACUGCGCAUCGUUGCUUCUUGUAGGCGGCGCUCUGUGCUCUCUCUGGGCCAGCAUCGGUUUUUGCCGCAGGAUAAGGGGCGUUGGAACGUGGCUCCUCGGAGUGUUAUAGCCAACGCCAGAUGCUGCGAGCGGGGACCGAGGGCUGC